GAUGAACGCUGGCGGCGUGCCUAAUACAUGCAAGUCGAGCGAACAGAUGAGGAGCUUGCUCCUCUGACGUUAGCGGCGGACGGGUGAGUAACACGUGGAUAACCUACCUAUAAGACUGGGAUAACUUCGGGAAACCGGAGCUAAUACCGGAUAAUAUAUUGAACCGCAUGGUUCAAUAGUGAAAGACGGUUUUGCUGUCACUUAUAGAUGGAUCCGCGCCGCAUUAGCUAGUUGGUAAGGUAACGGCUUACCAAGGCAACGAUGCGUAGCCGACCUGAGAGGGUGAUCGGCCACACUGGAACUGAGACACGGUCCAGACUCCUACGGGAGGCAGCAGUAGGGAAUCUUCCGCAAUGGGCGAAAGCCUGACGGAGCAACGCCGCGUGAGUGAUGAAGGUCUUCGGAUCGUAAAACUCUGUAUUAGGGAAGAACAAAUGUGUAAGUAACUAUGCACGUCUUGACGGUACCUAAUCAGAAAGCCACGGCUAACUACGUG
This 496-nucleotide ribosomal RNA is filed under the name uncultured bacterium. Its description in RNAcentral is "partial 16S ribosomal RNA". It matches the Rfam family "Bacterial small subunit ribosomal RNA", at positions 28 to 507 of the family's 1533-position model. The record is from RNAcentral.